Molecule: long non-coding RNA, 1819 nt
Filed under: Homo sapiens (human)
Lineage: Eukaryota; Metazoa; Chordata; Mammalia; Primates; Hominidae
Description: HSALNT0326854
Source: RNAcentral
AGACAAGGAACUCCAGGCAGCAGUGGCGAAGCUAAGCAGCUCCAUCCUUAAGGGGCGGAGGCCGGCUCAUAUUUGCCUAUUAGGGCCGUGGGACGCCGAGGUUCUGCUGGGUCCCUCCUGGAAAUAGAUCCUUCCCAGCCAGCACCCGAAGUCAGCAGCAGAGGGCAAAGCACCUGGGCUUUAUUUAGCUCCAAGCUCCACGAUCCUCCAGCAUAUUGUUCCUGGAAGAGGCAAAAGCCUAGGGCUUCAAGAUGCCGGGGCUUUAAGAAACCAAGGCAUGACCUCAAGUGAUUUGCCGGAGGUGGCCUCGGUGGCAGCAGUCAUUGAAGAAAGGAAGACAGCUGCCCAGCCAGUCUGACAGACCAUACACAGACAGCCCUGUUCACAGGGAGGCGUGGGCAAAGAUUUCAUGACGAAACAUCAAAAGCAAUUGCAACAAAAGCAAAAAUUGACAAAUAUGAUUUAAUUAAACAAAAGAGCUUCUGCACAGCAAAAGAAACCAUCAUCAGAGUGAACAGACACAACCUAUAGAACGGGAGAACACUUUUGCAAUCUAUCCAUCUGACAAAGGUCUAAUAUCCAGAGUCUACAAGGAACUUAAACAAAUUUACAAGAAAAAAACAAACUACCCCAUUAAACAGUGGGCAAAAAACAUGAACAGACACUUCUCAAAAGAAGACAUUUAUGCAUCCAAAAAACACGAUAAAAAGCUCAGCGUCACUGAUCAUUAGAGAAACGCAAAUCAAAACAACGAGAUACCAGUCAGAAUGGCAACUAUUAAAAAGUCAAGAGGCCAAGUGCAGUGGCUAAUGCCUGUAAUCCCAACACUUUGAGAGGCCGAGGUGAGCAGAUCACUUGAGGUCAGGAGUUCAAGACCAGCCUGGCCAAUGUGGUAAAACCCUGUGUCCACUAAAAAUGCAAAAAUUAGCUGGGCAUGGUGGUGCAUGCCUGUGGUCCUAGCUACUUGGGACCUGCUGAGGCAGGAGAAUCACUUGAACUCAGGAGGCAGAGGUUGCAGCGAGUUGAGAUUGUGCCACUACACUCCAACCUGGGUGACAGAGUGAAACUCUUGUCUCAAUAAAUAAAUAAGUAAAUAAAUAAAAAUAAAAAGUAAAGAAACAACAGAUGCUGGCAAGGCUAUGGAGAAAUGGGAACGCUUUCUAUACUGUUGUUGCAAAUAUACACUAGUUCAACCAUUGUGGAAGACAGUGUGAUGAUUCCUCAAAGACCUAGAACCAGAAAUACCAUUUGACCCAGCAAUCCCAUUACUGGGUAUAUAACCAAAGGAAUAGAAAUCAUUCUACUAAAAGAUACAUGCAUGCGUGUGUUCAUUGCAGCACUAUUCACAAUAGCAGACAUGGAACCAACCUAAAUGCCCAUCAAUAAUAGACUGGAUAAAGAAAAUGUGGUGCAUAUACACCAUGGAAUUCUAUGCAACCAUAAAAAGGAAUGUGAUCAUGUUCUUUGCAGGGACAUGGAUGAAGCUGAAAGCCAUUAUUCUCAGCAAACUAACACAGGAACAAAAAAACAAACACCACAUGUUCUCACUUAUAAGUGGGAGCUGAACAAUGAGAACACAUGGACACAGGGAGGGGAACAACAUACACUGCGGCCUAUCGGGGGGGCUGGGAGAGGGAGAGCAUCAGGAUAAAUAGCUAAUGCAUGCGGGCCUUAAUACGUAGGUGAUGGGUUGAUAGGUGCAGCAAACCACCAUGGCACAUGUUUACCUAUGUAACAAGCCUGCACAUCCUGCACAUGUAUCCUGGAACUUAAAAUCAAAAAAUAAAAUAAAAAAACGUGAUUAUGAAAAAAUGUCUCA